This is an RNA transcript of Alligator mississippiensis (American alligator), 11543 nucleotides long. It is a transcript of the gene named regulation of nuclear pre-mRNA domain containing 1B, with no coding region annotated. The record is from RefSeq and is a predicted model, not a curated record. Lineage: Eukaryota; Metazoa; Chordata; Crocodylia; Alligatoridae. The transcript has 8 exons.
GCGCCCCGCUCGGGCGGCAACGGCCGGGCCCCGAAGCGGACGUAGCCGGGGGGGUCUUGUCCCUUUUGGCGCCCCGUAGCAUGGUGUCCUUUGACCCGCCGCGGCGGGGUGACAGGUCGGGCGGCCAUCUUGUGGCGGCGGUGGCGGCGGCGGGUUGUUGUUGCUGAGGGCCCGUCCCCGCGGGCGGCCCCGCCGGCGCCAUGUCCUCGUUCUCCGAGUCGGCGCUGGAGAAGAAGCUGUCGGAGCUCAGCAACUCGCAGCAGAGCGUGCAGACGCUGUCGCUGUGGCUCAUCCACCACCGCAAGCACGCGGGGCCCAUCGUCUCCGUGUGGCACCGGGAGCUCCGCAAGGCAAAAUCAAGUAGGAAGCUUACGUUCCUAUAUUUAGCAAAUGAUGUCAUCCAGAACAGUAAGAGGAAGGGUCCCGAAUUCACUAGGGAAUUUGAAUCAGUUCUGGUGGACGCUUUUUCUCAUGUUGCCAGAGAGGCAGAUGAGGGCUGCAAAAAGCCCUUAGAACGAUUGCUUAACAUCUGGCAAGAAAGGAGUGUGUAUGGCGGCGAGUUCAUACAGCAGCUGAAACUUUCUAUGGAGGACUCGAAUAGCCCUCAACCCAAAGUUACAGAGGAGAAGAAGUCUUUGAAGCGGACAUUUCAGCAGAUCCAAGAGGAAGAAGAUGAUGAUUACCCUGGGAGCUACUCACCCCAGGACCCCACUGCUGGACCAUUGCUGACUGAGGACUUGAUCAAAGCCCUUCAGGAUCUGGAAAAUGCAGCAUCAGGAGAUGCAACAGUACGGCAGAAAAUUGCUUCAUUGCCACAGGAAGUUCAAGAUGUGUCGCUACUGGAGAAGAUUACAGACAAAGAGGCAGCAGAACGUCUUUCGAAGACUGUGGAUGAAGCAUGUUUGUUACUAGCAGAAUACAAUGGGCGACUGGCGGCAGAGCUGGAAGAUCGGCGCCAGCUGGCACGCAUGCUGAUUGAAUACACGCAGAACCAGAAGGAUGUAUUGACAGAGAAAGAGAAAAAGCUAGAAACUCCAUGUUGCUUUGGCACGCCCUGAAUUUUGCUCGGUUUAAAGCUGUAGUUUCAACGUGCAGCAGCUGCUUGAAGUAGUCUUCACUUUGAAGAGCUCUGUCGCUGUGAAGCAUCACUUGAGCCUGACAAAUUGACAGUUGCUCUUUAACUGCUUGCAAACCAAACUAAUGCAUAAUUCUCCUAGAUCAUCAUGGCAUCAAAGCAGACUCCUCCACUGGACGAUCUUCUGUUUGGAGGGCAGAAGGUUUAGAAGGCAAAUCAAUCCGUAAUUAAUCCAAGUUGCACUGAGGCACAUGUGUAAAUAGCUGCAUCCUCUAAUUAGAGGUGGGAGCCAGGAAUCUGACACCGAAACAGUUCUUGGUGCCUCUGUACUACACUGUCUGCAACCUCGCAGUCAAACGUAUUUGCCGUUGAGAAGAGUGUGUGAAAGCAAACAUCACAUGGAAGUAUGGUAUGUGGACCAGGGCAUGUAUGAUGCUAUCAUGAGGCUCUUCUGUCUAGUUGGCUUACCUGAGGGCUCCUUAAGAUGAUUUUAGAGCAGACCCACCUCAUAUCUAACAUACCUAUCGGGCUUGGAGUUAGAGAAUGUCCAUAAAACAUUUUCCUGGUGUUCAAAUUGUAUACCAGCUUAGAAAAUCCUGACCGAAAUUCAGGGCUACUUUCAUGACCAUGAAAAGCAUUUGGGAAAUUGGGCACCCUCUUCCAGGGAGUGAGGAAAAAACCCAUUCGACUCCCUUCACAGUGAAAAUUCAUCCUUUCCUGGCAGCCUUAAAAACUAAGGGAAGACUUUGAAAGAUGCCAGCAGCAGGUAGGUGCUAGGCUAUCUCCCCUUCGAGUUAAAGUAACAAAGUAAAGAAACUUUUGUUUUAUUCAAGACUCUGUCUUCUACUCUUCUGUAUGCCCUGCGGUGCUGGAGGAUGGUACUUGGGCCCAGCGUAGGCUGUAAUUAGCUUUUCCCCGUUGCUAACCCUGAGCAUGCAGGGCUGUUGUGAAAAGCCACUGUAAAACGAGCAGCAAUAACGUCCUCAAAGGGUAAAGCAGCCUGCAGCUGCCCUUGUGCUUUAGAGAGGGGGUGGGCAAAGGAGAUCUGGGCUUUGGUCCCUUCAAUACAAUGGCAGGAUGGGGCAUGUGUAAAUCACGGAGCAUGAGUGUGUGUCCUGGAAAGGAGGCAGACUCAAUGCUUCGCCUGCCCAAACCUCUGGCCCCCUCUCUUCUCUGACCACCCGGUAGUCUAGCCAUGACCGGAUUGCACACAAAACAUGCAUGCAUCUACAUAGCUCAGUCAGCAUCUUGAGACUUUAGUAAACUUUACUCCAGUGGCCAGAUGCAUUUCAAAGUGCCCCUCCCUACUGCCCCUUGGCCCUGAAAUACUUAUUUCAGGCAUUGCGACCUUGCAUGUGACGGGUCCCAACCAGUUGCUUUUCACAGUUGAAUCCGAUCCUGGUUAUAUAGUCUAUUAAAACGAGCACCAUUUUCAACAUUGCUUGUGCUGCCAAUGCCAAACCUAGGUAGUGCCAUGUGAUAGAUGAGGAGCAUCCCUAGCUGCAUUCAAGUCGAGGAUAAGACUUGGACUCUGAAGGGGAAAUCUCCUUUCAUGCUGGCAAACAAGUGAUGUCAUUUUCAAAAAUAUGGCCCCAAAAGUCAAGGCAGAUCUCAAGAUCCUAGGACAGUCGGGCUGGAGGGGCCUCGCGUAACUAGUGCAGCCCCCUGCUCGAGGCAGAAUCGUCCCGGACUCGACCAUCCCAGCCAAGCGUCUGUCCAACCUGCUCUUGAAAACUCCCCAGGAUGGAGAUCCCACCACUUCUCUUGGCAGCCUGCUCCAGUGCUUGACCGCCCGUGUGCUCAGUUCCUCCUAAUCUCCAACCUCAGCUUCCCCCUCUGAAUCUUGAGGCCAUUGCUCCUCUCCCUGUCCCCUUGAGGAAAGCCCAUCUCCAUCUUCUCUGCCAUUGCCCUUCAGGUAUAUGAAGACUUAUCAAGUGCCCUGUCUUGCAAGGGUGUAGUUAAGACUCUUGUAUAGUUUUAUUUUUUUCUUUUCUUUUAAUCUUUGUUAAAAAAAAAAUUUUUAGCUUUUAAUGUUGAAAAAUGUGUGACAUCCUGUCUGCAGGGAGCUGAAAUUUAUUUCCCUAAUUUGUGUGCCAGUACUCUUGAUAUUGCCACAGCUCAGUGAAUAACUGAUACUUUAUUGCUGCUCCCCUGCACAGAGGGAAGGCAUAAACAAUGAGCUUUAAUGAAAGUGCAGUUCUUCUCUGAACAGUGACUUUGUAAAACUUGCAUUUUCUUGAACACGGUGUGUUCAAUUACACUUGCUUCAGUGAGCAAAAUAAAUUGUUCCUGCUCCUUUCUUCUGCUACCCUCUACCACUCAAUGGGAGGUAGAAAGGGUCUCUUCUGGCCUGGGCAGAAACAGAGCCCGUUUUGGAGUUGGCUUUUAAUAGCAUGUCUCUUGAACCCAUCCAGUACUCCUAACACAAGAACUGCAGCUGCCCAAUAACAUUAAUCUAAUCAAAAACAUUCAUUAAAUCCUUUGGCGCAGUAUCUACAAAUAGUUUUCAUUCUUCCAGCUCCAAAGGCAGAAUUGUCUGCCUCUCUCUCGUGAUGUUAGCGACGAAGAAUAGUGUUUGAUAUCCAAACAGGAGCUAGCGUUUGGAAAGCUCUGCUCUACUUCAGAAGCGAAAAAAUAUUGGAGAUGGAAAUCACUGAGAUGCAGCAACCGUGCAACUGUCAGUGGGAUCUUUGUGCGUGUUUCUAAACUUAAACGGCUGGUUUCGGCAUCUGAGGAAAGCUGUGGUGGACCACGUUUAAGAAAACACAAAAGAAGUCCAGAGUUUCUCUUUUGGAUGGCAAAUGAAUUAUUAAGGCAGUGAAAUCCUGCCUCGCGAUCUGCAUAAGCGUCCCCUCCAGCACAGUGCUCUGGUUGUAAGAUUUGUGAUUUGACUUGAGUUGAGUGGCCUUGAAGGCUGCGGGGUUUAUUUAGCCCUGGGUUUGCAAUUCAACCCCCUUUUUCCCUUUAGAAGAGAGAAGCCACUAUGGACAGGGAUGCUCGUUCCCUCAUGGAUGACUCCAAUAAAGAAGAGCUGCAGGAGGUCCAGCUCAAUAAACGUGAAUGGUGCAGGACUCGCUGCUGCUGGGGGUCGUUGUGUUAAUCAUCUUUGGAGUUGUCCACACAGUACGGGCCAAUAGCUCCUCAUCACCUUUCCACUAAAGGAUGGUUUUCUGAUGACAAUGAAGAUGCAACAGUGAAGUGUCACGGAGGUGAGACAACCACCCCGGCAUCUGCCAGGUAGCUGGAAGUGAUGGACUCCCCGGUUAGUGCGCGGCUUGGCUGCCUCUCAUAUCCCCUUGCAUCUCUAGAAGCUGCUGAAUCUGGCAUAGAGCAGACCAGGGCAUUUCCAGGGUAGUAUGCAAUGCCACACUGCAGCAUGCUCCAGGGAGAAGAGCUCUGAAGACAUCUCUUUUCUACAGUGCCACUUUUCAGAAGGUACUGGAUUUUGGGGAGCAUUUUUCCCAGAGAGGGAAACCACUUUGAAUUUGCUUCUUGCAUGUGCACAUAUGGACUCGUGGGGAAAUGGGCCUAUAACUGGACACUGAUGAUGCCUUGAAACACUGUUCUGUGCUCCAGCCUCUCUGGCUGUGGUGACCAGAUCCUCGAGACCCACCAGGUCCUAACGUGGUGACAUCUCUUGCUGGAUGUCCCCGGGUCGGGGGACAAGCCGGGGAAAUGAAAACGCCUGGGGCACUAGGAAGGCAGUUGGAUGGGGUUGUGUCAUGAUCUACUUUCCUUUUGCCUUGCAGCUGAACUGCAAGCUUCUGCCAUCGAUUCCUGUUGCACUCAGAGGACGGGAUGUCUGACCUGUCGUGUUGGUGGCAGAGGGUGACUGAUUGCCCAGGCCACUGCCAUAGCCACACGUGGUGUCUGGGGUAUCCUGGGUCUGUCAAGGGCUGAGGGAGCAGAUCGUGUGGAUGUCGGGUCCCUGUUGCAUUCUCCCUGCCUCUGCCGCGUUUGUCCUUUGGCACAGAGUGGGCUGCAAAGGAUUUUCCUCCUAAUCCCUCAAAAGCAGCUUUUUGCAGCUUCCCUGAUAGUGCUGGCAGGGGGUGUUGUUAUCUUAGGAGGAUGGAUGACUUCUGAUGGGUUUUCUGUUUCCUUUCAAUUAGCUGUAUUAGUAGCAGGGGAAGAAGGGGACAUAUCUCCUGGCUGGUUUCCCUGCGCUCAUGUUGCUGUGGUUACUGUUUUUUUUACAGAGGUACCUGGUGCCAAAGAGUUGCAAACACCACCAGCCAAAUGUGCCACCUGCAACGGCUAGCAAUUUAGGUAUAAUCUUCUCCGAUUUCCAGGAGGGUAGAGAGAGCCCAAGUGCUGCAGCAGGGGAGCAGCAGUGAGACUAGCAGGCUCUGCCGACUCCAGCUUUGUCUUCUGUGACUUUCUCUGGUUGCUGGCAGGAGUUGUGUCCUGGGCCGCGUCGCUCUGGAGCAGAGACCGAGUGUCAAGCCAACAAGGAAGCCGGGUGUGCGAGCUCUGCAGGGCUCCCCGAGAGCCUUCCCAUGCUUCUCUGGGCUCCCUUUGCAAUGCCACGCCAGUCCUGCACGGCCAGGGCCUUUAUCUAGUCAGCCAAGCCUGUUCUUGGCUCCUGCCACCGCCUACCAGUUGAGGGGAAUGCAGAGACCAGGGGGGCACGGAGCAGGUGGCCUUGUGUCCUCCUCCUCGUCAGCAUAAGGGUAACAGUCCCUUUGCUGGCCUCAAAUGUUCACAAGCAGCCGGUCCCUAGCACAGGUGAAGGAAGCACAGCAGCUUCCUUCCAAGUAGGUAGCGCCCCUGAGUCGAUGGCCAGCGCCGCGCUCCGCUCCUAGCAUUGCUCUCCCGACCGUCCCUGGCAGGAGUUCAGGGCCCAGGCCUCUGGGAAACGUUAGUGAGCCCGUGCUUAGGGCCAGGGUGGUGGCGGAGGGCAAUGUAGUCGAGAGCGGCAGGGGGAGAAGGGGAAGGUUGGCGGGUGAGCGGCCCCUCGCUGCGGCAGGGUCGGUGCCGCUUGGGCACUAGCCGCAGAACCCCAGUAAAGACCCGUUUCCGUCGGCUCAGCUGGCUGGUCGCAGACCGGUCUCUCUGCCGUGGCGGCAGUGGUUAUGAAAGCCCCUUAAAUCCCCCGCUGCUGCAGCCCCCCCGAUCACUUCUCUCUGCCGCUUCUGCCUCGCCUCUGACAACAGAUGUUCCUGGCAGGCGGCCCGCUUGCCUUGGGGGAGAGAUGCAUUCACCUGGCUCCUUCUCCCCGCAGCUCCGCCUCGCUAAUCCCCUGGCACAUUCCUCCUUGCAUGGGUUUUGAUAGCAUGGGGGCAGCCUGGGGCCACUGGCUUAUUCCUGCCAUGCUGUUUUCUUGUGGAGCCGGGCCAGCCCUUUCCCAAUGAGCCUUGCGGGCUCCGGGCUGUGUUGACUUACCCUGAAACAAACCCAUGAGACGAGGGUGUGUGCAUGUGUCUCGUUGCUCCAUCACCCGCUGGUUCGGGCACUAACCUGGGAUGCAGAGACCAGGGUUCAGCCCCUGGUCAGCCUGAUUCACAGCAGUGUUAUUCGGGCCGAACAGGCUCCCAUAACUGGUAUCUGGGCAAUGGGGAGGGGGAUCUCCUGGUUACUGCUUGACAUGACAGAUGAGCCCAAAGACAGGGAGACGAAUAGGCUGCCAACAGAGCCACUGAGCCAAAGCACUGAGAAAAAUAGCCCCAAACCUGAUGUGAAACUAUGCCGUGGGGUUGUGGUGGUGCUGGCUGUGCACGUGGGUACUCUGCUUCCACGUGCCCCUGGGGGUUUGCUCGGGUGAACGGGCACCGAGACGCAGCCAGCAGGCUAAAUGCCAGGGGCAGGGACAUGCCUUGUAGCCACAACUAGCACGGACCUCGGAAAAAUCUGCCGGAAAGCAGUCUUGUCCCAGAGCUGCUCUGCCCCCAGGAUUUAACGCGUAUUGGCUAUCUCCUUAUUUCGUGUCAGCGGGUCUCCACUUUCAACUCUUUGCUGCUGUUAGGAAGAGCCCCAGUGGCACUUCAAGAGCAGCCGAUGUUGGGACCUUCUUUCUAGGCUGCUUGGCUUUUGGAAAGGGAUGCAUGAGUGUGAAUGGAAAAGAAGUGCUUCUGGCAGAGAGAGGCAGCUGCAUUCGCGGCUCUGGUGUAUUUUUACGUCAUCCCUUUGCUUUGUGUGCAUCCGUCCUGUGCUUCGCACCUUUCUUGCCGGGGUUGAAAGGCUACUGGGCCACUACAGCUGCACCCGGUACCGAAUUGGAGCCAGCAUCAAAACUCUGCUCCGGGUUUCCUUGGCUCCUAAGGGUUGUGUGAAGAGUUCGCUCCAGGCGAGCGCAGAGAUCCUGUUCUCAUCCUCCCGGUGACUGAAGGCACUCGGCAGAGAGCGUUGCUUCCAGGGCCGUGCUGUUUUUUGCGGUCUGUGAAAACUGCCUGGCUGAGCCCCUGGGAUCCCGUUCCUCACUGCUGUCGAGUUGCCACACGCCUGGGCACAGGUGGCCGGUGCUUUGAAAAGGCGCCAUUGAAAGUCCUACAGAAAUGCAAAGCCGCAUAGUUUUCUUUUUAGUGCAGCUUGCUGGUCCAUUAACUGGAGCCCUCGAGGCCAUGACAAGCUGGCUGGCAUUUCCUGGGCAGGGCGGGUUAUUCUCUGCCCGUUUGGAGCUGUCUUGCACCGUCUCAGCACUUGGAAAAGACAUUCAGUGUCCAGCUGUGUCCAUGCAGCUGCAAAUGCUACUGCCUGUGCUACCGUAGUGCCUAGCAGCCCUCGCUGUGGGCAGGACACUGCCUGUCGAGCCCUGGGUGACCUAGAGCAGCGGUUCUCCGUCUCUGGGCCCUUCCUCCCAGCACCAGGCUGCUCUGUGCGUGCUGGUGAUGGCAGGGACAGCAGGGCAGUUGGCGCUGAGAACCAGGGUGUGCAGGGGAUGAAAGGCUGGGAACUACCGACCUGGAGCCUUAUUCACGCGGUGGCUGCAUCGCCCCAGCCUCGCGUUGGUAUUUUACCCUGUGCUGGGAAAGACCCCAGCUCUGCUGGCAUAGUCCGUCAGCCAGGCGUCGUCGUGGCUGUAUGCAAGCGGCUGAUGGAGAGGCCUUGCCCUUGUUCCUCAGCUCCUGGUGCAUGGGGUGGGGUGGCCGCGGGGGGACGAGUUGGGCACAGAGCUGUGAUUAGCACAAGCAGGCUCCCAAGCUCACCGGCCCAGCACUGCAAAUGGAUGCACAUGAUUAGCGCUGUGCUAAUCAUUAUUUUAUCAGUCCGGGUUGACUCCAAGUUAUUUUUUUACUGAUGCUUCGAGCCCCCGGGAUCCCGGCUCGGCACAGCCAUGCACAGUGAUGGUCCUUGCCACGUGGCCCUGCAGCUUUCCCAGCACCGAGGGACGUUCCUGACCAGGCGGAGGAGCUGGGAAGGGGCCUGCCUUUAACCCCACGCUAGAGGCUCGGUGGCGACGGGGGCUCCAGGGCAGCCCGUCCGGCCCUGGGUGCGGUGCGGGCUGCAGCGGGUUGCAUGCUGGGACUUACAGUGGCUGUUUCUGAGGCUGGAAUGAACAAACUGGCUGUGCUGAAAGCUCCCUCUUCUCCCCGAUCUGCUCAGCUGACAGACGAGAGUUCGCAGCUGGGGGUGGGCAGUCGCGCUGUCCUCUGUGUCCCCCGAGGCAGAGGUGAGGCCUGCUCCGAGUCGGCCUUGGAGAAGAACAGCCCUUUGCAGCAAAUGCGAGCUCUCCGCUGGUGUUCACGGAUGAAUGCAAAUCCAAGGCCCAGAAACGAGGGUCCAGCCAGCUGGGACAUCUUCACCGCUGCUCCCCCCAUGUCCUGCAAUAGCACAAACUCAUGGACUCACACCGGGGACUCGGUGGCUUAGGCUCAUCCCCACUGAUUUUGCCCCAUGCUGUGCUGAAAAGUGGCAAGCCAGACGGCACGAGUUCAGUCGGUUCAGACCGGUGUUCACCCAGGGGACGUUCGCCCCCGCUUGCCCAUUGUUGGAUGCCGGCAGUCGUGGCCUUUUAGCAGCUCUGAGCGCUGAGGUUACGCGUGCAAAGGGGAGGUUGGGAAAAAGACAAUUUCUGAAGCUAAUUAUUUUUGCUGGGCAGCUCAUUACGUGAAGUAGAGCCUGGGUAACGGUGCGGUGGGGAUUAUUAAUGACCCUCUACCUGCUCUGGAGAAAGUUUUACAACUGAAGUCAUGCAGCGGGGGCAGAGGAGGGUGCAGCCGCUUCACGUGUUGCCUGAAAUAGGAGCUUUGGGGGGGGUUUCCCCCUUCAAGGGCGUUUAAAGGUUUUGCCGUGAAGCACCGAGCCGCGGCAAGAGCUCCAAGCCAGGAGGGGCAGGAGGAGCUGGGUAGCAGGAGCCGGACCGCCCUGUAGCAUAGACUCUGACCUCUGCAUUGGCCAAGGAGGCUUCCAGCAGUGGUGGUCGUGGUGGCUUACGUGAGAUGGACACGUGGCAAGAGGGAACAGGGCGCAGUCCCUGUCUGCAAUGACCAGCGAGUAGAUGUGCCCCUAGUACGGGGCAGCAGCUCACGUACAUUGUAAAGCACGUAGCGUUUCCCCCCAAGCUGCCUCUGUCCUGCCCCUCAACUGAUCACUCAACCCAUCUUCUCCCAGCUGCCCCUGGACCACCCGGGUGUAGCUCGGGAUGCUCUGGACAGGAUACCCGGCGGGCAGGCAGCUCGGAGAAGUGUUGCAUGUGCCCCUCCCCUCCCGUCUGCCUUUGCUCGGUGCCCAGCGUUUCCUGCUAUCCCUUGGAAGUCGGGAAACGAGAGGAAUAGGAAAUGAAGCAGGGAGACUGGGCAAGGAGCAAACGUUUUCCCUCAUCCUGCAGACACAAAGCAGGCGUCUGCAGGUCCCUGGAUGCUGGCGUGCGAGCGCCGAGGGCAGCAGGUUUGCUGGGGUGAGAGUAUGGCUCGAGGGAGAUGCCCCGUGAUAAAACCUCCCUCGAGAGAGGGCUCGGGAUCCGGUUAGGCCCGUGCACGUUCCUGCUGAAGUCCAGGGACGGCGCAGACACCGCUGGCCCUGGAAGCAGCUCAGGAAUGUGUCACAGCGCAGGCUUUUCUUGCUGUGAAAGAUGAAGCGCUGCACACCCCGGGGUCCUUCCCGCAUGUAAUUACUGCUCGGAAACGGGCCCUGACAUCCUUUCGCUGCCCGGCUCCGGUUCCCCACGGGGACCAGGUCUCCAGAGUGCCGUAAAUCAGGAAUGAAACUCUCAGCUGUAACCGUGUUUGUGAUUCAGAGGUAACUUCCUUCUCCGAGGAGCAAGAGCUCAGCCUGCUUCUAGGGACAAAAACCCAGGCGUCCCGGCCGCGGCGCGCGGGGCUGUGAGCAGAGCAGAUAGCAGCGGUGAGGCUGAACGAGAAGCUAGGGAAUUCCUGGGUCUAUUGGAAAAUGUCCUUGGGGAUGCAGUACAUUGGCAGAUUUGUCACGGUACUUUAGAAAAUGUAAACUGCCUGCCGACCCGCUUUGUUCUUGAUAGCAUGCUUGCACAUAGCUCGUCCCCGAGGGAGCAGCAGAUGAUCCAGGACUGGUAGGCCUUUUCCAUCACUGUCUUCCUGGCUUCGGAGUAAAUAAAGGGAUUUACAGUGAGGGUGACUGAAUGAAGCUGAGCAUUCAUUUUUUUCCCUUUUAAACGAAGCUUUUCCCGAAGUGAGAUCGCUACAUCUGUUGCAAAUUGGACUAAUAAGGUAUUGCCAAUGAGGCAUUCCAGCUUGUUCAUUAGCGUUACACGUCUUGCUUUCCUCUUUCUGUGACACGCCGCUGUGCCGUUACUUAACGAACGGUUUCAAUAAGACUCAGCCUACCGAACGGCAAAGGAGAGUCCGAGAUGUUCAAAGAAGGGGUCUUCUGUCGUGACGCUCAGGGCUGCUGCUGUUGUGCGCGGCUAAAUAAACUGACUGGCCCUUGACACGAGAUGCCCGGAGGCUCGGCCCUGCUCCCUGCCUCUCUGCUCUUCGUCUAGUCACUCUCCUCCGGCGGGGCUGGCGGGCCGGCCCUGCCGUCACUGCCCAGAUGCCUCCCACGCAAGACAUGACCCCGACGGGUGGCACCGCUUGGAGACCUGCCUACGUGCAGCUGAGAUGGGCACGUUCGCCAUGGCUAGGGCCGUGCUUGUGCCGCUCGACUCAUCCAUGCAGCAAAGCUCCCUGCGGUCUCCCAUGACCAGGGGCUGAAGUCUGCCUUGUAUGUGCCUGUGCUGCCCGUUUGCCGCCCGCCUCGGGCUGAUGCUGCAGGAGAACACGCCUGGCCCUUAGCGCAACGCAGAACCGCCGCGGCGCCGGCGGGAGGAGUGCCCGGCGCGGGCAAGGACGGAGGCAGGAGCUCCCCGGGUGCAGCGAGCAGAACUUGCCCUGCAAUGAGGUGGCCGUCCGGCCGUCCGGGGGCUCAUCCAUCCCCUCUGAUGCCCAGGCCUGCUCCCAUGCCUUGCGUGGCCCAGCUCCAGAGGAAGUCUGCCCUGGUGCAUGGGGAAGGCUCAUCCUGAUAGCAUCUCAUUUCUCAGUGUAGAGAUAUGUCCCUCUAUGAAGAGUACACGCGA